UAUGUAGGCGGCGCUGUUAGUCGGGUGUGAAAUCCCACGGCUCAACCGUGGAACUGCGCCCGAUACUGCAGUGCUUGAGGGAGACAGAGGUAAGCGGAACUGAUGGUGGAGCGGUGAAAUGCGUUGAUAUCAUCAGGAACACCGGUGGCGAAAGCGGCUUACUGGGUCUCUUCUGACGCUGAGAUACGAAAGCUAGGGUAGCGGAAGG
Molecule: ribosomal RNA, 208 nt
Filed under: uncultured bacterium
Lineage: Bacteria
Description: partial 16S ribosomal RNA
Rfam family: Bacterial small subunit ribosomal RNA
Source: RNAcentral